ACUACAUGAGAGCAAAGAUAAACUUUGAAAAAAUAAAUGGGGUAGGUUACCAAGCCAGGAAUCGAACCUGGAUCUCUCUGAUAACAUGUCAGGAAUGUCCAUCGCUUGGCUUGAAUAAGGUUCACUAGUCACUUGACCAGUAGGCAUGAAAAAAACUUUAAUUAAAUAUAAUGUUUUAAAAAAAAUUA
This is a long non-coding RNA of Cotesia glomerata, 188 nucleotides long. RefSeq lists it as uncharacterized. The transcript is spliced from 4 exons. Lineage: Eukaryota; Metazoa; Arthropoda; Insecta; Hymenoptera; Braconidae. The record is from RefSeq and is a predicted model, not a curated record.